RNAcentral lists this non-coding RNA (26 nucleotides) under Cricetulus griseus (Chinese hamster). Lineage: Eukaryota; Metazoa; Chordata; Mammalia; Rodentia; Cricetidae. The record is from RNAcentral.
GUCUACAGACAGAGUUCCAGGACAGA